RNAcentral lists this ribosomal RNA (483 nucleotides) under uncultured bacterium. RNAcentral's name for it is "partial 16S ribosomal RNA". It matches the Rfam family "Bacterial small subunit ribosomal RNA", at positions 30 to 507 of the family's 1533-position model. The record is from RNAcentral.
UUGAACGCUGGCGGCAGGCCUAACACAUGCAAGUCGAGCGGAUGAAGGGAGCUUGCUCCUGGAUUCAGCGGCGGACGGGUGAGUAAUGCCUAGGAAUCUGCCUGGUAGUGGGGGAUAACGUCCGGAAACGGGCGCUAAUACCGCAUACGUCCUGAGGGAGAAAGUGGGGGAUCUUCGGACCUCACGCUAUCAGAUGAGCCUAGGUCGGAUUAGCUAGUUGGUGGGGUAAAGGCCUACCAAGGCGACGAUCCGUAACUGGUCUGAGCGGAUGAUCAGUCACACUGGAACUGAGACACGGUCCAGACUCCUACGGGAGGCAGCAGUGGGGAAUAUUGGACAAUGGGCGAAAGCCUGAUCCAGCCAUGCCGCGUGUGUGAAGAAGGUCUUCGGAUUGUAAAGCACUUUAAGUUGGGAGGAAGGGCAGUAAGUUAAUACCUUGCUGUUUUGACGUUACCAACAGAAUAAGCACCGGCUAACUUCGUG